GCUGACGUAGCUCAACUGGCAGAGCAUCCGCCUUGUAAGCGGAAGGUUGAGGGUUCGACUCCCUCCGUCAGCUCCU
RNAcentral lists this transfer RNA (76 nucleotides) under Gemmatimonadales bacterium. RNAcentral's name for it is "tRNA-Thr". It matches the Rfam family "tRNA". From Rfam's summary of the family: Transfer RNA (tRNA) molecules are approximately 80 nucleotides in length. Their secondary structure includes four short double-helical elements and three loops (D, anti-codon, and T loops). Further hydrogen bonds mediate the characteristic L-shaped molecular structure. tRNAs have two regions of fundamental functional importance: the anti-codon, which is responsible for specific mRNA codon recognition, and the 3' end, to which the tRNAs corresponding amino acid is attached (by aminoacyl-tRNA synthetases). tRNAs cope with the degeneracy of the genetic code in two manners: having more than one tRNA (with a specific anti-codon) for a particular amino acid; and 'wobble' base-pairing, i.e. permitting non-standard base-pairing at the 3rd anti-codon position. Lineage: Bacteria; Pseudomonadati; Gemmatimonadota; Gemmatimonadia; Gemmatimonadales. The record is from RNAcentral.